CAGCUAGAAGACAGUAACUCACAGACAUUUAUGUUUUGGCAAGAUAAGGAGCCAUGACUGGAAUCUCGGCUUCUGACUGCAGUACUUACACUUCUAGUUGUUCCUCAAUAAACAAUUUGGUUCCGGAGAGAAUGUGACUAUGGAUAUUGCCCUACCCGUUUUGGAGAAGGCAUCUUAUAUCACAGAGAAAGGUGUCAUCUAUAUGCUCCCUUCCAGUUUAUGAUUCAUCUUUGACCCAUCUGCCAGCCCAGAUCUCCUACUUAAUCAGUGAACUUGGCACAUGUGGGGGCUGCCCUACUUAUGGUUCAGACCCCAGCUUCAGUUCCUUCAGGUCACCGGACACAGUGCAGACGCCUGGCAUGGCUUCCCCUUGGUGCCUGUUCGUUCUCUCACACUCUCUCCCUGUCUAUCUCUCCGUCUCUCUCCCUCUCCCCCCACCCACUUCCACUUCUCUUUGACAGAUGUAAAAUUCGUGCAGCCAUCUCUGACGCUGCUAACCACAGGCAUUCAGGAACAGCCUUGCUCCAAAUCCUGCUUCCUAUUUUCAUAUUUCCUGUGGCGUUUUAUAGAAAUAGCAGAACAAUUGCUCAUCCACAGGGGGUAAAGAGAGCAGGAUUUUAUAUAAUUAAAUUUUAAAGUGACAAAGUUUUCUGGCAUAUGGGAAAAUAGAGGGAAGGGGUGACAGGACAAGGACCCUCUGGGGUAAAAGAGAAGGCUUCUCUUUGCAUUGGUGACAGAGAAUCCAGCUUUAAUCCUCUUUUGAAAGCAGUGAUCAGGACCACGGACAUAAUUCAUGCCUUUACUUCUGCUUCUCCUUGCAUGGAGCUGCAGCACACACCAACUGGUAAAUGGGUCCCUUGUCAAAGACUGCCUGAAAUCCCCUGCAUCCAAAGGGAGUGUCUGGAUUUUUAGGAAGUGUUGAUAAUUUAUUUCCAACUCCUGCACUGGAGGAAGAAGAAACAAGUGACAGCUCAUCUCCCAAAAGGAACAUUUUUCACGUGAUGAAGAACAGAGAUCAGCAACAUCUGCCUGUAGCCAGCACGCCUGGAGUUUCCCAUAAACACAGGUUUCCAUGAAAACCAAACAAAGGAACAUAGAGAAUGGCCAGGCAGAUUCCACUUCAGCUCCUGGAUAUAAAUGAGUCUUACAACCUCCUUCCUUUUAAGGACAGGGACCUGAGGCUGGCUUCUCGACAAUGGUUCUGAUUCUCAUUCCAUGGACUCCUGAAUCAGAGUCUUCCUUUUGCCCUUCAUAAAUUAUACCUAUUAUCCUGUCUAAGUACUCCUCAUCCUCAAAUGAGCCACAGCAGAGGGAGUAUUCCUGAAGAAGGGAGGGUAGAUUCUUGCAUUUAUUAAACUGCCACUAAGUAAAAAUGAAUGCUGGACUUGGAGUUAGAAGACUCAAUUUGCGACCAAGAUAUUCCACCUUCCACAAAGAAAACUUUGUCAGAUUUCUUAAUAUGAGCCUUAGUGUACUCAUUUGGCAAAAGGGGACAUGGCUUUGAUGGACAGAACGUCUGGAAGAGAAUUAAAUUAUGUAAGAAAAUACAAUUUAUUAUGCAGAUUCAACAUUUUGAUGUCAGUCAUGGUUAUUAUGACUAUGAAAAGAGGGAUAAUCUUUCUAAAGUUUAUCAAACGUUCUAGAAGCAUAGUAAUGUAUGUGAAUAAAAAUUGUGUGUACAUGU
This is a long non-coding RNA of Ictidomys tridecemlineatus (thirteen-lined ground squirrel), 1684 nucleotides long. RefSeq lists it as uncharacterized. The record is from RefSeq and is a predicted model, not a curated record. Lineage: Eukaryota; Metazoa; Chordata; Mammalia; Rodentia; Sciuridae.